This 2910-nucleotide ribosomal RNA is filed under the name Pseudomonas aeruginosa. RNAcentral's name for it is "23S ribosomal RNA". It matches the Rfam family "Bacterial large subunit ribosomal RNA". Lineage: Bacteria; Pseudomonadati; Pseudomonadota; Gammaproteobacteria; Pseudomonadales; Pseudomonadaceae. The record is from RNAcentral.
GUUAUAUGGUCAAGUGAAGAAGCGCAUACGGUGGAUGCCUUGGCAGUCAGAGGCGAUGAAAGACGUGGUAGCCUGCGAAAAGCUUCGGGGAGUCGGCAAACAGACUUUGAUCCGGAGAUCUCUGAAUGGGGGAACCCACCUAGGAUAACCUAGGUAUCUUGUACUGAAUCCAUAGGUGCAAGAGGCGAACCAGGGGAACUGAAACAUCUAAGUACCCUGAGGAAAAGAAAUCAACCGAGAUUCCCUUAGUAGUGGCGAGCGAACGGGGAUUAGCCCUUAAGCUUCAUUGAUUUUAGCGGAACGCUCUGGAAAGUGCGGCCAUAGUGGGUGAUAGCCCCGUACGCGAAAGGAUCUUUGAAGUGAAAUCGAGUAGGACGGAGCACGAGAAACUUUGUCUGAACAUGGGGGGACCAUCCUCCAAGGCUAAAUACUACUGACUGACCGAUAGUGAACCAGUACCGUGAGGGAAAGGCGAAAAGAACCCCGGAGAGGGGAGUGAAAUAGAACCUGAAACCGUAUGCGUACAAGCAGUGGGAGCCUACUUGUUAGGUGACUGCGUACCUUUUGUAUAAUGGGUCAGCGACUUAUAUUCAGUGGCAAGCUUAACCAUAUAGGGUAGGCGUAGCGAAAGCGAGUCUUAAUAGGGCGUUUAGUCGCUGGGUAUAGACCCGAAACCGGGCGAUCUAUCCAUGAGCAGGUUGAAGGUUAGGUAACACUGACUGGAGGACCGAACCCACUCCCGUUGAAAAGGUAGGGGAUGACUUGUGGAUCGGAGUGAAAGGCUAAUCAAGCUCGGAGAUAGCUGGUUCUCCUCGAAAGCUAUUUAGGUAGCGCCUCAUGUAUCACUCUGGGGGGUAGAGCACUGUUUCGGCUAGGGGGUCAUCCCGACUUACCAAACCGAUGCAAACUCCGAAUACCCAGAAGUGCCGAGCAUGGGAGACACACGGCGGGUGCUAACGUCCGUCGUGAAAAGGGAAACAACCCAGACCGCCAGCUAAGGUCCCAAAGUUGUGGUUAAGUGGUAAACGAUGUGGGAAGGCUUAGACAGCUAGGAGGUUGGCUUAGAAGCAGCCAUCCUUUAAAGAAAGCGUAAUAGCUCACUAGUCGAGUCGGCCUGCGCGGAAGAUGUAACGGGGCUCAAACCACACACCGAAGCUGCGGGUGUCACGUAAGUGACGCGGUAGAGGAGCGUUCUGUAAGCCUGUGAAGGUGAGUUGAGAAGCUUGCUGGAGGUAUCAGAAGUGCGAAUGCUGACAUGAGUAACGACAAUGGGUGUGAAAAACACCCACGCCGAAAGACCAAGGGUUCCUGCGCAACGUUAAUCGACGCAGGGUUAGUCGGUUCCUAAGGCGAGGCUGAAAAGCGUAGUCGAUGGGAAACAGGUUAAUAUUCCUGUACUUCUGGUUACUGCGAUGGAGGGACGGAGAAGGCUAGGCCAGCUUGGCGUUGGUUGUCCAAGUUUAAGGUGGUAGGCUGAAAUCUUAGGUAAAUCCGGGGUUUCAAGGCCGAGAGCUGAUGACGAGUCGUCUUUUAGAUGACGAAGUGGUUGAUGCCAUGCUUCCAAGAAAAGCUUCUAAGCUUCAGGUAACCAGGAACCGUACCCCAAACCGACACAGGUGGUCGGGUAGAGAAUACCAAGGCGCUUGAGAGAACUCGGGUGAAGGAACUAGGCAAAAUGGCACCGUAACUUCGGGAGAAGGUGCGCCGGCUAGGGUGAAGGAUUUACUCCGUAAGCUCUGGCUGGUCGAAGAUACCAGGCCGCUGCGACUGUUUAUUAAAAACACAGCACUCUGCAAACACGAAAGUGGACGUAUAGGGUGACGCCUGCCCGGUGCCGGAAGGUUAAUUGAUGGGGUUAGCGCAAGCGAAGCUCUUGAUCGAAGCCCCGGUAAACGGCGGCCGUAACUAUAACGGUCCUAAGGUAGCGAAAUUCCUUGUCGGGUAAGUUCCGACCUGCACGAAUGGCGUAACGAUGGCGGCGCUGUCUCCACCCGAGACUCAGUGAAAUUGAAAUCGCUGUGAAGAUGCAGUGUAUCCGCGGCUAGACGGAAAGACCCCGUGAACCUUUACUGUAGCUUUGCACUGGACUUUGAGCCUGCUUGUGUAGGAUAGGUGGGAGGCUUUGAAGCGUGGACGCCAGUUCGCGUGGAGCCAUCCUUGAAAUACCACCCUGGCAUGCUUGAGGUUCUAACUCUGGUCCGUGAUCCGGAUCGAGGACAGUGUAUGGUGGGCAGUUUGACUGGGGCGGUCUCCUCCUAAAGAGUAACGGAGGAGUACGAAGGUGCGCUCAGACCGGUCGGAAAUCGGUCGCAGAGUAUAAAGGCAAAAGCGCGCUUGACUGCGAGACAGACACGUCGAGCAGGUACGAAAGUAGGUCUUAGUGAUCCGGUGGUUCUGUAUGGAAGGGCCAUCGCUCAACGGAUAAAAGGUACUCCGGGGAUAACAGGCUGAUACCGCCCAAGAGUUCAUAUCGACGGCGGUGUUUGGCACCUCGAUGUCGGCUCAUCACAUCCUGGGGCUGAAGCCGGUCCCAAGGGUAUGGCUGUUCGCCAUUUAAAGUGGUACGCGAGCUGGGUUUAGAACGUCGUGAGACAGUUCGGUCCCUAUCUGCCGUGGACGUUUGAGAUUUGAGAGGGGCUGCUCCUAGUACGAGAGGACCGGAGUGGACGAACCUCUGGUGUUCCGGUUGUCACGCCAGUGGCAUUGCCGGGUAGCUAUGUUCGGAAAAGAUAACCGCUGAAAGCAUCUAAGCGGGAAACUUGCCUCAAGAUGAGAUCUCACUGGGAACUUGAUUCCCCUGAAGGGCCGUCGAAGACUACGACGUUGAUAGGCUGGGUGUGUAAGCGUUGUGAGGCGUUGAGCUAACCAGUACUAAUUGCCCGUGAGGCUUGACCAUAUAACACCCAAACA